This is a non-coding RNA of Procambarus clarkii (red swamp crayfish), 5084 nucleotides long. NCBI's taxonomy places the organism in Eukaryota, Metazoa, Arthropoda, Malacostraca, Decapoda, Cambaridae. The record is from RefSeq and is a predicted model, not a curated record.
ACAUAGGUGAAGAGUGCAUGCGGGAGGUGCCGAGGAGGCGAGAGUGCCUGAGUGAACUGAUCAAAGAAAACGUUACCGUGACGUCAGGACCCUGGUGCGCAUGCGCGCCGCGGUACAUGGUCACGUGACCCUACAGCUUUUGUGAGCGCAUUUUCCUAGCACUUGUAUAUACAAAGUGUACAUAAAUUAGCUUCUUAAGAUGAGCUCCGGGGGCAGAGGCAGCCGGGGCAACAAAGGUCCGCGGGCGGGCGGCGGUGACCGCAACAACACCGCCACACCACAGGUACAGCAACCUCAGCCUGUACAGCAACAGAAGAUGGACAGCCAGGCUACAGACAAAGACAAAGGCGGCGAGGCAAUACCGCACAAGAUAGCACCCACAGCAGAGCAACUUCGCAUUGCCCAGAUGAUUGACAACACACGAACAGAACCAGAGAAGUUGCUUCAGGAAAAAAUUAAUCAGGUUAUGCAGUUCACAGGUGUAAAUGCAGACGAUGCGAUGGUGGCCCUACACGACUGUGAUAAUGAUGUUAAUGCCGCCAUCGACUCGUUGCUAGAAGGCGAUGAUCAGGGCAAGUGGCAAGAAUCAACUAAGAAAAAGAAAAAGCCGAUAACAAACAAGCCGACAGAGGCAGAAAAUAACAAGGAAAAUCGACGGGUUAAUUCCCGCGAGCGUAGUGGGUCUAGGCCAAGAGGUGGUGGUCCACCCAGGUUUAGAGGGCGAGGCGGCAGUGGCCGAGGUGGCCGUGACAGUGAAAGUUGGGAUGGUCCAAGUCGUGGUGAAGGGUCACGGCGUGGACGUAUGACUAAUGGAACUCCUGCGGCCAGAGGUCGAGGCGGUCGAGGCCGUGGGAGUUCUAUGGGUCCACGAACAUUCCAAAACAGGCAAGCACCUGGUUUCCCAGAUUCCAUAGACACUUGGGGGCCUCUCACAGAUGACAAGCCAAACCAUCAAAACAGUCUAAAAAUAGACAAUUGGGAUGAUGAACCUCCUUCGGGUGGGGAUGACUGGGACAGUGAAUGGACUGGAUCAUUAGAACAGACUACAGUAUUUGGUCCAUCUAGCAGUUCCAGUACAUCUACAUUGACACCAUCAUUAUCAGAGUCUCUUCCAGAAACAUUGUCAGUAGGAAGUCCAUCUGUGGGACCAGCAGUCUCUCUCGCACCUUCCCAAGUCUAUGCCUCGACUCCACCACAAAUAUACCCCCCUGCACCUGCUUCAACCUACUCUUCUGCCACAGCUACGACUUUCACCUCAACUACAGCUUCAACUUACUCUUCCACAACUGCUUCCACAGCCUCCAUUACCCAACCUCAGACUAUGGAUUUGGCUGCCUUGUUACAGAAGGCAGCCCCACAGUCCACGCUUAGUGGGUUGGUGUCGUCUACCCAACUGUGUAGUAGCAACAACACAAGUAAUGGUGGAGGUGGGGGUGGCAGGGUAGGUGGAGCUCCGCUGGUAUCCCCAGCUCCGGGACUGAGUGUUGGCAGUCAACAUGGCAUCUUAAGUGGACUUGGUGCCAAUGUAGGGGAGAGUUUAAAAGCUGGAGGACUUGUUGGAAGUGUUGGUGUGUCAGCCACUGCUCCAUCACCUGCAUCAUCAGCACCGCCACCCUACUCGACUCCCACCGCUCAACUACAAGCAGCGAUCUUCUCUAGUUCUGGUCUUCACAGUGUGGUAACAAGCAGCCUAGCCAGCAGUAUAAGCAACAACAGCAGUGUAAUAAACAAAGUUGUUAGCUUAUCAUCUGUAAGCUCCACACUGCCUUCUCGUCCAAAGACGCAUAGACCUCGGAUACCCCAGGCCUCGAAGAUACCUCUAUCUGCAGUGGAGAUGCCAGAAGAUGCUAUGGCAGCAUUAGAUGUGCAGUUCAGUGGAUUAGAAUUUGGUACCGAGACCUUUGACUUUACUACAGAUGUAAAGACAAGCCCAAGCAGUACAGGUCUUGUAAGCACUACACCUGUCAACACCCGUGACCCUUCUUCUACUCCUCCCGUCACCAAAGAUCUCACUUCUGCAUCUCUCUCGUCUUCCCUUCCACAAUCUCAAAAGCUUGGACCUGAGCCCAUUCCAUUCCCCACCUCUCAGACGAAUGAGCGUAAGCCCGCUGGAGGGGCCUUCGUGUCAGGAAACCAACGUAGCAGUGCCAGCAACAGUGCUGCACCUCAGGGUCUGUCGGACCUGACCAAGAAUGAGACUGGUGGUGGCACAGGUGGCCUUGGGAGCUUGGUGGGGUCAGCUGGUCAAACUUACCAGUCUUAUACCAGCUCCAAGUCAUCCUCAUCCUUCCCAUCCCCACCCUCUGCUCCCUACUCACAGACGCCUUCACAGAACUCGUACACAAGCAGCAGUCAGCAAGUGAGCAGCGGGACAGGUAACAGUAACAAUGGUGGUUACAGUAAUGCCAACAGUGGCACAGGAGGCACUAACAGCAAUACCAGUACCAACAGCAGCCAAACUCCAGGAGGCUAUGGAUCAAGUUUUUCUGCUCAGGCCACUGGUGCGGGCAACAGUAGUAGCCAGUACCAGAACAGCUAUGUUAAUGCCUCUAGUCAUUCGCCUCUGGUCUCCAUAUCAACCCCUAAGACACUGGCUGGGCUAUCAACUGCUCCCUCUGUUAAGGAUACCACACAGAGUUACGGAGAGCAAACGUCAACGGGGGGCUCUGCGUAUUCCAGUACUUUGUCAACCAGUGCAUCGGUUAGCAGCAACAGCACUAGUAACAGUACGGGUCCUGCAGUUCUUUCAGCUUCACUAAAUUCAGCCACUUCACAUCCUGUCCAACCCUCGAAGCCUUCAGUGCCAGGUAAAGUUAUAAGUGGCUUGGGCAGUACUGUGCCUCCUGGUGUACACCAGCACCAACCACCGCAUAUGCAUCAACAUCAACAGCCACAGCAGCAGCAUCACCAACAGGCACAGCAACACCAGCAGCAGCAACAUCAGCAGCAGCAGCAGCAACAACAACAGCAGCAGCAGCAGCAGCAACAGCAGCAACAGCAGCAGCAGCAACAGCAGCAGCAAGCGCAACAGAUGAUGGCGCAACAUUCACAAUAUGUUUCCCCACCUGCGGCAGCACUUCAGGGUGCCCUUCCACCAGCCUUUUACACAGGACUUCAACAGCCUAUGUAUUCUCUUGAAGAUUUCCAGCUGCUGCAGCAGCGGAUGCCACACAUGCAGGCUCCAACCAGCUUAGCUACUGGGCGGGAUGGGAAUAUGACAUCAACUGCUUACUCUGUUGCUGAUGCCAAGUUCCGCACAGACCAGAAUUCUUCACCAGUUCCCUCCACAAUGAAUCAGCAAGGUGCACAAGCUGGUGGUACUUACAUUACGGCGACAGGCAAUGCAGCAAUGCCACCGUUUUAUAUGUACCACAACAUGGCAGCUGUUCCGAACUCAUUUCCUCAGUAUGGUGCUCCAACUAUCAUUCAAAUUCCUCCGGUCACCAACACCCACACAGGGACAAACACGAACCAGUUUCCUGCUGCACCCAAAUUACAGUAUGGCACUGGGAACUACUAUGAUAAUAUAUCACAGACUCAGGACUUCAAGACUGGUUACGGGUCCGCGACACAGAACCAGAAUAAAGCUGGUGGAGCAACAACUGGCACAGCCACGAAUUCAGGCACUGAUCUUGGAGGCUAUAAGAACCACCUUAGUAAAAUGGGAAGGUCGUAUGACAAACAAGGUUUUCAUACGGGCACGCCUCCACCAUUUAACUUAGCUGGAUCUGGAACAAAUCCCAUGACUGCCAACGCUUACACACCCAUGUUCAUCCCAACUAUGCCUGCAGCACAGCACCACUCUCCGCUCAUGCAUCAUCAGCUCCACCAGGGCAUCAUACAGUGGUCACCAAGUCCUCUGGGUAUCAUGCCAUGAAUAUAAAUGAACAGACGUAACACAAUGCAGACUGAGAAGACGACAUCCACAGGCCUCAGAAAUGGAAAAUGACUCGAGGGUGGAUUUAACGACGAGCCUCAGAUCCGAAACGCUCAUUAACAUGGAUGGAGGCAGCUCUGGUGGUCAGCGUGCAGGAAGUACAGGUGGGCAGAACAAGGGAGGAUCAAAGCCUUCAUAUGGUGGGUCUUACUGGGGCACUAACUGAAGCUUCCCCAUCAAGAUCUUCCCUACAAUCCGAAGCAAUCGUAAUAGGGUAACCCUGCCUCAGUCCCACGCUAAUAUCAUUUGACAAGGAUGAUCCACUGUUCAGUUUGUUGGUGUUGUUCGGCCAGCAUCCAUUCCCACCUACGAUGUAGGUGCCUCAGCAUCCGGAGCAUGAAUUUGUCAAUUAGAUGUGAAAAUGCGCUCACAGAAGUCCUUGAUUUAAAUAAAAGUUUGCUUAGAUGGAUGUACAAGGGUCGAAAAGUAGGUGUACUCUUUAGUCAGUGCAAAAAAUACUAAUACAAAAGAAUUUGCUUGUCUCAGCACAUUAAUGAAUGUGAAUGAGGUAAGCUGUUCUUCACCCCUAUAGGUCAUACUUUAUGUGAACUCGUCCAAGGUGAUGUAAAAGUGGAUAUGAUAUUUAGCAUUUGUGGCAAUGGUGUAUUCAGUCUUGCUCUUCUCACUUGUAAAUAACGGAUGCCACUGAAUAAACCAUGGGCGCGCAGGUCCACUGGCAUGGUGCAUUUCUCCCGCAACCUUUCACUCCCACACCUUUUUAUAUUUACAAAAGUUUUACAAAUUGUAUGUUUGGGUGAUAGGAUUUGUCAAAGAAGACUAUAGUGAUUGUACACCACUAGAACAGAUCUUCAUGUAGGCUACAAAUGUAAGACGGCAUUCUAUUCUGGAGUUGAGGUGUUAACACAUUUCUUGAAACUCACUGAAGUUAAGGGCUUGCUGUGGAUUUGAGACCACAACUCCUUUAAAUUUGCCUUUCAGUGGUCACCCCAGAAUAGGAUGAUUGUAUGUUCAACUCACUUUAUUUUUCUUUCUUUUUUAACUUCUGUAUCUCUCUAGGUACAAUAUAAACCAAUUCCUGUUAAAGGAAUGCUGUAUCAAUGAUAUGAAAAGUAUGCCUCUUGUUUUGUAAGCUUUUUGUGUAGUGAAAUAUUUCAGUUCCACCAAUAAAAAUAUCUUGAAUCUAAAA